UGGGGAAUCUUGCACAAUGGGGGAAACCCUGAUGCAGCGACGCCGCGUGAACGAUGAAGCCCUUCGGGGUGUAAAGUUCUUUCGACAGGAACGAUAAUGACGGUACCUGGAGAAGAAGCUGUGGCUAACUACGUGCCAGCAGCCGCGGUAAUGCGUAGGCAGCGAGCGUUGUUCGGAGUUACUGGGCGUAAAGAGUGCGUAGGCGGCGAGCCAAGUUUGGUGUGAAAUCUCCCGGCUUAACCGGGAGGGUGCGCCGAAAACUGGUUGGCUGGAGUAUGGGAGAGGAAAGCGGAAGUCCUGGUGUAGCGGUGAAAUGCGUAGAUAUCAGGAGGAACACCUGCGGUGUAGACAGCUUUCUGGACCAAAACUGACGCUGAGGCACGAAAGCGUGGGUAGCAA
RNAcentral lists this ribosomal RNA (399 nucleotides) under uncultured bacterium. Its description in RNAcentral is "bacterial SSU rRNA". It matches the Rfam family "Bacterial small subunit ribosomal RNA", at positions 355 to 771 of the family's 1533-position model. The record is from RNAcentral.